UUAGAGGCAAACGGGUGGACCCGCAAUACGUCGACCCGGGGGAUUCAACCAGGCCGUGCGUUCGGGACGCGUGGGGGUUAUGCGGAGCUGUAAAGCCCGUGCCUUUGCGCAGGUCUCCGGGCGGACUGGUGCACUUUCCUCGGGUUGAUUGCCACGACCGGCUCUCCGUGCGGCCACAAGCCUUUGCUGGGAAGGUGACCGUCGGCCUCCGCGCCGGCGGUGUUAUAGACCAGCUUGUUCGUUGAGCUCGUCGGAGGGCCGAGGAAGUGUUGCCGUUUCUCAGCCACCCUCCGGCCAUCCUUGCUCGUCACGACUGGGGUGAACUGCUUCGUCAGUGCUCUCCCGACCGCGAGCGUAGGAAGGGCUGGUACGGUGCGAGAAAGCUUCGGGCCAGUGGCGAAUCGGUCGGUCCUCCACCCGACCCGUCUUGAA
RNAcentral lists this ribosomal RNA (432 nucleotides) under Pleurobema strodeanum. RNAcentral's name for it is "partial 28S large subunit ribosomal RNA". Lineage: Eukaryota; Metazoa; Mollusca; Bivalvia; Unionida; Unionidae. RNAcentral also lists the same sequence under 1 other name. The record is from RNAcentral.